RNAcentral lists this ribosomal RNA (421 nucleotides) under uncultured bacterium. RNAcentral describes it as "bacterial SSU rRNA". It matches the Rfam family "Bacterial small subunit ribosomal RNA", at positions 506 to 930 of the family's 1533-position model. The record is from RNAcentral.
CGCCAGCAGCCGCGGUAAUACGUAGGGGGCGAGCGUUGUCCGGAUUUACUGGGCGUAAAGGGUGAGUAGGCGGUGAUAUAAGUCAGGUGUAAAAGGCGUAGGCUUAACUUACGUAAGCACUUGAAACUGUAUGACUUGAGUGCAGGAGAGGUAAGUGGAAUUCCUAGUGUAGCGGUGAAAUGCGUAGAUAUUAGGAGGAACACCAGUGGCGAAGGCGACUUACUGGACUGUAACUGACGCUGAGUCACGAAAGUGUGGGUAGCAAACAGGAUUAGAUACCCUGGUAGUCCACACUGUAAACGAUGAGUGCUAGGUGUUGGGUAGCGAUAUUCAGUGCCGAAGUUAACACAAUAAGCACUCCGCCUGGGGAGUACGGUCGCAAGACUGAAACUCAAAGGAAUUGACGGGGGCCCGCACAAGC